CAGGUCUGUGAUGCCCUUA
RNAcentral lists this non-coding RNA (19 nucleotides) under Arabidopsis thaliana (thale cress). The record is from RNAcentral. Lineage: Eukaryota; Viridiplantae; Streptophyta; Magnoliopsida; Brassicales; Brassicaceae. RNAcentral also lists the same sequence under 1 other name.